Molecule: non-coding RNA, 78 nt
Organism: Chaetura pelagica (chimney swift)
Lineage: Eukaryota; Metazoa; Chordata; Aves; Apodiformes; Apodidae
Source: Rfam
CCUCCUGUGAUGAUGUAUUUCCAUGACUUUCGUUCUCCUGAGCUUGCUGAAGCCACGGAUUUCGAUCUGAGGGGAAGG